UGGGCGUUAAGUUGCAGGGUAUAGACCCGAAACCCGGUGAUCUAGCCAUGGGCAGGUUGAAGGUUGGGUAACACUAACUGGAGGACCGAACCGACUAAUGUUGAAAAAUUAGCGGAUGACCUGUGGCUGGGGGUGAAAGGCCAAUCAAACCGGGAGAUAGCUGGUUCUCCCCGAAAGCUAUUUAGGUAGCGCCUCGUGAAUUCAUCUCCGGGGGUAGAGCACUGUUUCGGCCAGGGGGCCAUCCCGGCUUACCAAUCCGAUGCAAACUGCGAAUACCGGAGAAUGUUAUCACGGGAGACACACGGCGGGUGCUAACGUCCGUCGUGAAGAGGGAAACAACCCAGACCGCCAGCUAAGGUCCCAAAGUCAUGGUUAAGUGGGAAACGAUGUGGGAAGGCCCAGACAGCCAGGAUGUUGGCUUAGAAGCAGCCAUCAUUUAAAGAAAGCGUAAUAGCUCACUGGUCGAGUCGGCCUGCGCGGAAGAUGUAACGGGGCUAAACCAU
Molecule: ribosomal RNA, 503 nt
Filed under: Salmonella enterica
Lineage: Bacteria; Pseudomonadati; Pseudomonadota; Gammaproteobacteria; Enterobacterales; Enterobacteriaceae
Also listed under: 1 other name
Description: partial 23S ribosomal RNA
Rfam family: Bacterial large subunit ribosomal RNA
Source: RNAcentral